UCCAUUCGUGUUUUUGUUUUUUGGGUUUUGAGUUUUGAUCGAGAUGGCCGCCCAGUACACCCAGGAUCAGUCGACUGAGUUCCGUCCCGAGCUGGAUGAGCCCAGGAGGACGACGACGACGACCACAUCCACGACCGGGAGUGGUCUGGAGAAUGAGAACUUCGGUGGGUAUGGCGGCGUGAGUGAGAACGAGCCCCCGCGCCACAAGAUCCACUCCGAGGAUGAGCCCCUGCCUAAGCCCAUGAGCGGAACGUACUUGGAUGAGGAGGGUGCCAAGUUGGACCAGGACUCUGAUCGGUCUGGGUUAGGGGCGUCAGAUCUCGGCAGGGAUGAGCACAUCAUGCCCAAGCCCACUAGUGAGGGUUAUCCUGCAGGAACUCCACAGAGCACCGAGAAGUACCAGGAGCAUCGAGACUUGGAGCCCACCCGCUUAGAUGGUAAACUUUGGAUGCAUUUUUGAUGACGGAAAAUAAUCUUCUUUCUGAUUUUUCUCUCAAGGGGAUAGUUCAAUUGAUGAGGUGGACUUGGCAGAAGAUGAAUUUGAUAUGAACUGUUUGAUUCAUGUUUUUCUUACAGAGAGUCCGAAGACAGAGGAGUUCGGUGCUGCGAACGCUAGCACAGGAGAUUUUGACCGCACCUCUAGCGAUGGGCUCCGAACUGACAAAACCCCGGCUUCGGAAC
RNAcentral lists this long non-coding RNA (681 nucleotides) under Physcomitrium patens. RNAcentral's name for it is "long non-coding RNA (PPAT_LNC003546)". Lineage: Eukaryota; Viridiplantae; Streptophyta; Bryopsida; Funariales; Funariaceae. The record is from RNAcentral.